This 52-nucleotide ribosomal RNA is filed under the name Hodophilus cf. micaceus. RNAcentral's name for it is "partial large subunit ribosomal RNA". The record is from RNAcentral. Lineage: Eukaryota; Fungi; Basidiomycota; Agaricomycetes; Agaricales; Clavariaceae.
UCUUGACCUCAAAUCAGGUAGGAUUACCCGCUGAACUUAAGCAUAUCAAUAA